RNAcentral lists this ribosomal RNA (494 nucleotides) under uncultured bacterium. Its description in RNAcentral is "partial 16S ribosomal RNA". It matches the Rfam family "Bacterial small subunit ribosomal RNA", at positions 28 to 507 of the family's 1533-position model. The record is from RNAcentral.
GACGAACGCUGGCGGCGCGCUUAACACAUGCAGGUCGAACGGAAAGGCCUGCUUUCCCUUGUGGAUUGCGGGUACUCGAGUGGCGAACGGGUGAGUAACACGUGAGUGAUCUGCCCCCAACUUGGGUAUAAGCCUGGGAAACUGGGUCUAAUUCCCGAUAGGACUGCAGGGUGGUGCCUGUGGUGGAAAACGAUUUUCUAGUGGUUGGGGAUGAGCUCGCGGCCUAUCAGCUUGUUGGUGGGGUAAUGGCCUACCAAGGCGGCGACGGGUAGCCGGCCUGGGAGGGUGGACGGCCACAUUGGGACUGAGAUACGGCCCAGACUCCUACGGGAGGCAGCAGUGGGGAAUAUUGCACAAUGGGCGGAAGCUUGAUGCAGCGACGCCGCGUGGGGGAUGACGGCCUUCGGGUUGUAAACUCCUUUCGACCGCGAGGAAGCCACCUGGUUGGAAGGGUGGUGACGGUAGUGGUAGAAGAAGCACCGGCUAACUACGUG